ACACGACUACAUUAGAUACCCGCGUAGUCCCAGCCGUAAACAAUGUGCGUUAGGUGUGUCGGUAACCACGUGUUACUGAUGCGCCGAAGAGAAAUCGUGAAACGCACCACCUGGGAAGUACGGUCGCAAGGCUGAAACUUAAAGGAAUUGGCGGGGAGCACCACAACAGGUGGAGCCUGCGGUUUAAUUGGAUUCAACGCCGGACAUCUCACCGGAUAAGACAGCUGAAUGAUUGUCAAUCUGAAGGUUUUACAUGACUAGCUG
This 264-nucleotide ribosomal RNA is filed under the name uncultured archaeon. Its description in RNAcentral is "partial 16S ribosomal RNA". It matches the Rfam family "Archaeal small subunit ribosomal RNA", at positions 717 to 982 of the family's 1478-position model. The record is from RNAcentral.